This 92-nucleotide microRNA precursor is filed under the name Pteropus vampyrus (large flying fox). Lineage: Eukaryota; Metazoa; Chordata; Mammalia; Chiroptera; Pteropodidae. The record is from RNAcentral.
AUUUUGUCUACAGCCACGCCACCCUGAACAAGCCCGAUCCCGUCUGAUCUCAGAAGCUGAGCAGGGUCGGGCCUGGUUAGUCCUUGGAUGGG